Molecule: ribosomal RNA, 388 nt
Filed under: Priestia megaterium
Lineage: Bacteria; Bacillati; Bacillota; Bacilli; Caryophanales; Bacillaceae
Description: bacterial SSU rRNA
Rfam family: Bacterial small subunit ribosomal RNA
Source: RNAcentral
GCGCGCGCAGGCGGUUUCUUAAGUCUGAUGUGAAAGCCCACGGCUCAACCGUGGAGGGUCAUUGGAAACUGGGGAACUUGAGUGCACAAGAGAAAAGCGGAAUUCCACGUGUAGCGGUGAAAUGCGUAGAGAUGUGGAGGAACACCAGUGGCGAAGGCGGCUUUUUGGUCUGUAACUGACGCUGAGGCGCGAAAGCGUGGGGAGCAAACAGGAUUAGAUACCCUGGUAGUCCACGCCGUAAACGAUGAGUGCUAAGUGUUAGAGGGUUUCCGCCCUUUAGUGCUGCAGCUAACGCAUUAAGCACUCCGCCUGGGGAGUACGGUCGCAAGACUGAAACUCAAAGGAAUUGACGGGGGCCCGCACAAGCGGUGGAGCAUGUGGUUUAAUU